Cyanistes caeruleus (blue tit) is the source of this 576-nucleotide non-coding RNA. The record is from RefSeq and is a predicted model, not a curated record. NCBI's taxonomy places the organism in Eukaryota, Metazoa, Chordata, Aves, Passeriformes, Paridae.
UGCCCCGGCGUGCGGCGGGACCGCCCCUCGCAGCGAGAGGCGCGGCCUGGAACCGGAGAUCCGCGGUGCCGGCGCAGCUUGCGCUCGGUAUCUUAACGAGAAACGUCUGCCCAGCGCUCGCCCCCAUGGCGGGCUGCAGGCAGCGGGAGUGGCGUCCCUCAAAAUAACCGGCUGUAGCAUAGGGCGGCAAAGCGACAAUUAACAGUAAUUUAGCAGCGGUCUAGGAGAGAAGAGUCAGUCUUGAUCUGAAUGUGCGCUGCUUUACGGAGCCCCGGACACUCUGACCGCUGGCACUGAGGGCUCUCCUCUGGCUGUACAGUCUCGUGUUGGGAAUGGCCUCAAGGGUGAUGAAUUACAUAAAUAAUAGAAAUUUUGAGUCUCCCUGAAGUUACCGAAUAGAGCUUAAAAACUGACUGGCAGAGAAAGAUGUAAAGGUCUGCAGAGGCCAAAGGUUGGAUGUGGUGCAGAUGUCCUGAGAUCCAAGAGAAACUUUCGGAUGAGGCUGCUGUCAGUUUUUAUUCACAUUUCAUUUGAAUAUCAGCUAUCAUUAGGAGAUUAAAUGCAUAAGUGGUCACA